RNAcentral lists this ribosomal RNA (401 nucleotides) under uncultured soil bacterium. Its description in RNAcentral is "bacterial SSU rRNA". It matches the Rfam family "Bacterial small subunit ribosomal RNA", at positions 26 to 429 of the family's 1533-position model. The record is from RNAcentral.
AGAUUGAACGCUAGCGGGAUGCUUUACACAUGCAAGUCGAACGGCAGCGCGGACUUCGGUCUGGCGGCGAGUGGCGAACGGGUGAGUAAUAUAUCGGAACGUGCCCAGUAGCGGGGGAUAACUACGCGAAAGCGUGGCUAAUACCGCAUACGCCCUACGGGGAAAGGGGGGAUUCUUCGAGAACCUCUCACUAUUGGAGCGGCCGAUAUCGGAUUAGCUAGUUGGUGAGGUAAAGGCUCACCAAGCCUUCGAUCUGUAGCUGGUCUGAGAGGACGACCAGCCACACUGGGACUGAGACACGGCCCAGACUCCUACGGGAGCAGCAGUGGGGAAUUUUGGACAAUGGGCGAAAGCCUGAUCCAGCCAUGCCGCGUGCAGGACUGAAGGCCUCGGGUUGUAAA